RNAcentral lists this ribosomal RNA (429 nucleotides) under Bacteroidota bacterium. RNAcentral describes it as "Bacteroidetes bacterium partial 16S ribosomal RNA". It matches the Rfam family "Bacterial small subunit ribosomal RNA", at positions 355 to 776 of the family's 1533-position model. Lineage: Bacteria; Pseudomonadati; Bacteroidota. The record is from RNAcentral.
UAGGGAAUCUUCCGCAAUGGGCGAAAGCUUGACGGAGCAACGCCGCGUGAGUGAUGAAGGUCUUCGGAUCGUAAAACUCUGUUAUUAGGGAAGAACAAAUGUGUAAGUAACUAUGCACGUCUUGACGGUACCUAAUCAGAAAGCCACGGCUAACUACGUGCCAGCAGCCGCGGUAAUACGUAGGUGGCAAGCGUUAUCCGGAAUUAUUGGGCGUAAAGCGCGCGUAGGCGGUUUUUUAAGUCUGAUGUGAAAGCCCACGGCUCAACCGUGGAGGGUCAUUGGAAACUGGAAAACUUGAGUGCAGAAGAGGAAAGUGGAAUUCCAUGUGUAACGGUGAAAUGCGCAGAGAUAUGGAGGAACACCAGUGGCGAAGGCGACUUUCUGGACACAAACUGACGCUGAGGUACGAAAGCGUGGGGAGCAAACAGG